UGCCUGUACCAUAACCGACACAGGUGGGUAAGUAGAGUAUACUAAGGGGCGCGAGAUAACUCUCUCUAAGGAACUCGGCAAAAUAACUCCGUAACUUCGGGAGAAGGAGUGCCUUAUUCUUAAGGUUGCAAUAACAAGAUCCAAGCAACUGUUUAUCAAAAACACAGGUCUCCGCUAAGUCGUAAGACGAUGUAUGGGGGCUGACGCCUGCCCAGUGCCAGAAGGUUAAAGAAGUCGGUUAGCAAUAGCAAAGCUGGUAACUGAAGCCCUGGUGAACGGCGGCCGUAACAAUAACGGUCCCAAGGUAGCGAAAUUCCUUGUCGGGUAAGUUCCGACCCGCACGAAAGGCGUAAUGAUUUGGAUGCUGUCUCGGAGAGGGGCUCGGUGAAAUAGACUUGUCUGUGAAGAUGCGGACUACCUGCACCAGGACAGAAAGACCCUAUGAAGCUUUACUGUAACUUGAAAUUGAAAUUGGACUUUAUUCGCGCAGUAUAGGUGGGAGGCGUUGAUUAUAAUCUUGUGGGAUUAUUGGAGCCAUCAGUGAGAUACCACUCUUGUAAUGUUAGAUUUCUAACUUUGAAUCAUUAUCUGGUCAAAGGACAGUUUCAGGCGGGCAGUUUGACUGGGGCGGUCGCCUCCUAAACGGUAACGGAGGCGUACAAAGGUUUCCUCUGAACGGUUAGAAAUCGUAUCUAGAGUGUAAAGGCAUAAGGAAGCUUGACUGUGAGACCUACAAGUCGAGCAGGGACGAAAGUCGGUCUUAGUGAUCUGACGGUACUGAGUGGAAAGGCCGUCACUCAACGGAUAAAAGUUACUCUAAGGAUAACAGGCUGAUCUCCCCCAAGAGUUCACAUCGACGGGGAGGUUUGGCACCUUGAUGUCGGCUCAUCGCAUCCUGGGGCGGUAGUACGUCCCAAGGGUUGGGCUGUUCGCCCAUGAAAGCGGUACGCGAGCUGGGUUCAGAACGUCGUGAGACAGUUCGGUCCAUAUCCGGUGUAGGCGCUAGAAUAUUGAGAGGAGCCUUCCUUAGUACGAGAGGACCGAGAAGGACAUACCUCUGGUGUACCAGUUAUCGUGCCAACGGUAAACGCUGGGUAGCUAUGUAUGGAGUGGAUAACCGCUGAAAGCAUCUAAGUGGGAAGCCCACCUCAAGAUAAGUAUUCUCAUCACGUAAGUGAGUAAGGUCACGGUAAGACUAACCGUUUGAUAGGCAUUAAGUGUAAGUACUGUAAUGUAUGUGCUGAGAUGUCCUAAUAGACCGAGGACUC
This 1268-nucleotide ribosomal RNA is filed under the name metagenome. RNAcentral describes it as "bacterial LSU rRNA". It matches the Rfam family "Bacterial large subunit ribosomal RNA", at positions 1639 to 2925 of the family's 2925-position model. The record is from RNAcentral.